UACGAAGGGUGCAAGCGUUACUCGGAAUUACUGGGCGUAAAGCGUGCGUAGGUGGUGAGUUAAGUCUGUCGUGAAAGCCCCGGGCUCAACCUGGGAAUGGCGAUGGAUACUGGCUCGCUAGAGUGCGGUAGAGGAGAGUGGAAUUCCCGGUGUAGCGGUGAAAUGCGUAGAUAUCGGAAGGAACAUCAGUGGCGAAAGCGGCUUCCUGGACCAGUACCGACGUUCAGGCACGAAAGCGUGGGGAGCAAACAGG
This 253-nucleotide ribosomal RNA is filed under the name uncultured bacterium. RNAcentral's name for it is "partial 16S ribosomal RNA". It matches the Rfam family "Bacterial small subunit ribosomal RNA", at positions 524 to 776 of the family's 1533-position model. The record is from RNAcentral.